Molecule: long non-coding RNA, 256 nt
Filed under: Helianthus annuus (common sunflower)
Lineage: Eukaryota; Viridiplantae; Streptophyta; Magnoliopsida; Asterales; Asteraceae
Description: hypothetical non coding rna
Source: RNAcentral
GUUUUGCUUAGUGAGGUACUGAUCUACUAACGGGCCUGUGACGAACAGAAUAGCUGCUUGAAAUGGUGCUGAUUGAUACAGUAACUGAGUUGAUGACACAUUUAGUCUCUUUUGAAUUGUGUUUGAUACAAUUUGACCAACACAAGUGGUGGCAAUAGCUAGAAGUGAGAGAAUCGUGCCGACAAAAUUGAGCUGAAGAUCUGUCACCGAUGCUAUGCCAACUCCAAGAAGUAGGAGGAAGAGCGAUAACUUUAUU